This is a long non-coding RNA of Eurytemora carolleeae, 379 nucleotides long. RefSeq lists it as uncharacterized. Lineage: Eukaryota; Metazoa; Arthropoda; Copepoda; Calanoida; Temoridae. The record is from RefSeq and is a predicted model, not a curated record. The transcript is spliced from 3 exons.
AGCUUCUUUAUUCCUCCAAUUCAGACCAAUCUCCUUCAUCUGCAGCUCCGCCGGAACUCCAAUCUUAAGCUUGUCGGCGUAUUUGGGGUAGAUCAUGGUGGAAUAGUUUGGAGGAAGGGGUGGUGGGGGGAUCGUCACAUCCGGUAAGGUCAUGUUCUUCCGUUUAUUCUCCGCGUACUUCAGCACUUUCUCCUUCACGCUGGCUGCCCGACUCUCCAUCUAAGAUUAGAGAAAAAGAGAGGAACAAUUAGCAUAAGAAAUAACCUUUCAGCUUUGGCUGUUCUUUAGAGUUAAGAAAAACAGGAGAGACAUGAUGAAGAAUUUUGGAAACCAUCUCCCCUCCCCCCUCUCUUCCCUCCUCCCCUCCCCCCUCCCCACU